Sebastes umbrosus (honeycomb rockfish) is the source of this 709-nucleotide non-coding RNA. The record is from the annotation of a RefSeq genome assembly. NCBI's taxonomy places the organism in Eukaryota, Metazoa, Chordata, Actinopteri, Perciformes, Sebastidae.
AGUCAGUGACACUCCCUCCUGCAGCUCUUCAUGACUCUGUAACUAUAUGAGACUGGUAGGUUGUGUCCAACAACAUGGAGCUUAUCAUCAUCACACAAGACCUCCUCAGAUUGUCCAUCUUUCUGCUGUGGACUACAGGUCUUAUUGAUGGGAGUGGUGUCACCCAGACUGACAUACUGUGUAAAAAACAGGGUGACAGUGCAACAAUGAGCUGCAGCCAGACCAAGGGUGCUGACUACUACCAGAUGUACUGGUACAGACAGCUGCCAGGAGAAACAAUUAAACUAAUCGUGUUCACAACAACCCUCAACAAAGAUCACGACUUUGGAAAUUUCACAAAAGAUAAAUUUUCAGCCACCAGGACUGAGGUUGAGAGUGGGACAUUCACAGUGAAGAAUCUGAAGCCAGAAGAUAAAGGCUUGUAUUUCUGUGCUGUGAGUAAACACAGUGAUACAGACUCAUUCAAUAGCUGUACAAAAACCCCAGUGCUCUGUUGGCACUACCGUUUCCAAAACUAAUUAUCUCAUGUACUGUAGGGGGACCUCAAGGACCACAAAUUCUCCCAGUUACAUCCUGAUCACACACCACACAAUACAUGACACUCCCACCUGCUACUCUUUAUCUCUGUAACUACACUGACAGCUGUGUUUUCUGACUUUCUGAACAUGGACAUCAUCAAACAUGGUCUCGUCAGCUUGUUACCAUUUCU